Non-coding RNA from Potamilus streckersoni, 74 nucleotides. The record is from the annotation of a GenBank genome assembly. NCBI's taxonomy places the organism in Eukaryota, Metazoa, Mollusca, Bivalvia, Unionida, Unionidae.
GAUCCGGUGGCCUAGAGAUUAGAGCGUCCGCCUUGGAUGCGGGAGGUCAAUGGGUUCGAUGCCCGGUUGAGUCA